Prunus persica (peach) is the source of this 3879-nucleotide RNA transcript. It is a transcript of the gene named probable serine/threonine protein kinase IRE, with no coding region annotated. The transcript is spliced from 13 exons. The record is from RefSeq and is a predicted model, not a curated record. Lineage: Eukaryota; Viridiplantae; Streptophyta; Magnoliopsida; Rosales; Rosaceae.
GUCAAACAAACGACGGCCCACAAAACAAAAGUGAUUUGGGUCAGUUGAUGAAUAAGGCUAAAUAAGUACAAUUGACUUUUCGUUUGUCAAUUGUACAUCUGUUUCUGUUCCUUCAAGUUCGAACUUACGGUAGUCCCGUCUGCAGGGGAACGACGCCAAUUACAUGCUUAGCGGGAAGCCCGUUUCAAACCCACAACCGAAAAAACACAUAAAUUCGUGUCACUCUCUAACGCUCUCUUCCCGCGAGAUAAUCUCCCCCAGCAACCCCCCCUCUCUCUCUCUCUCUCUCUCAAUCCCAUGACGAAUCCGAAUCCGAAUCCGAAUCUAAAACCGAACUGUUUUCUCCCCCAUGUCGAGCUCUCCUCCACCUUCUUCAAAGCCACCCCUGAUUUCCGACCCCGACGGCAAAUUAGACUCCGCAACGACGUCGUCCGUGUCCUCUCCAACUCAACCCUCUCCCUCCAGAGCUAAGCUCCUCAAAAUCCCCCCCAUCCCGAUUCGACGAAGCCCCAGACACACGAUCCACGAAGACGAAGAAUUUGAAGAAUUCGAAGAAGAAGACGACGACGACGACGAAGAGUAUGAGGACCAGGUUCGUACGGAACGUAAAACAGAUGAUGCGCCUAUCGUGUUGGCAUCGUCGCUCGGCCUCAAUCACAUUCGGACUCGAUCGGCUCCGUCCCCGCUUCGAUUCUCUUCGUCGGUCUGCUCGGCUUCGAAUUUCGGUGACGAAUCGAAUAAGGUCAAGUACACGGUCAAGCCAAAACCCAAAUUUACGCCCAUACAACCAGUGAAACCUGUGCACUGGAAUCAAUCAAAAUCGCUCAGAAAUCCUUCACUACUCAAUCCAGUCUCGGAGGGUAACCAUGCAGCCUUUUCAAAGGAAAUGCAGUCGCCGCGUUUUCAGGCAAUACUGCGUCUUACGAGUGGGCGAAAGAAGAGAACACAUGACAUUAAAAGUUUCUCUCAUGAGCUCAACUCUAAAGGAGUUCGACCAUUUCCCGUGUGGAAGUCUCGCGCAUUUGGCCAUAUGGAGGAGAUUAUGGUGGCGGUCAGGGCAAGAUUUGAGAGGUUAAAGGAAGAUGUUGACUUUGAUUUAGGUGCAUUUGCUGGUGAUUUGGUGGGAAUACUUGAAAAGUCUUCGGAGUCUCACCCUGAAUGGAAAGAGAAUUUUGAGGACUUGUUGGUUGUUGCCCGGCGGUGUGCAAAGAUGUCGCCUGGUGAAUUUUGGGUGAAGUGCGAAGCCAUUGUUCAGAAAUUGGAUGACCGGCGUCAAGAGCUACCAAUGGGGGCCCUCAAACAAGCCCACACCCGUCUUCUUUUUAUUCUCACUCGGUGCACACGGCUUGUGCAGUUCCAAAAAGAGAGUGGUUAUGAGGAAGAGCACAUUCUCAGUCUUCACCAGCUCAGUGAUCUUGGUGUUUACCCUGAACAAAUUUUGGAGGGUGCACAGCAGAGCUUUAGUGGCCAACUGGGUGGUAAGGAUGCAAAUGAGAAGCACAUGAAUAAGUCCCAUGAGCAGGAAAAAGUUAGUGCUGCUGAUGAUGUGGAGGUUGACACUGCCAAAAGCGUUGAAUCUACAGGCAGCUAUAGGAUGUCAUCUUGGAAAAAACUUCCAUCUGCUGCUGAGAAGAAUCAGAAAGGCCAUGAUGCUGCUGAUACAGCGCCAAACGACAAAUCAGACCGUUUGCAUGCCAAAGAUGACACAAAAACUUGUGGGGAGUAUAGUAGUGACAAUGUGGAUACUCCAUCAUGCCGACCUGAACCCCCAGAGGUGUCUGCAAGUGCACAAAGAAUCUCUUGGGGAUUAUGGAUGGAUCAGCAGAAUGUUUCAUACGAGAAUUUGAUGAUCUGUCGCAUAUGUGAGGUGGAAAUACCAACUGUACAUGUAGAGGAGCACUCCCGAAUAUGUACGAUUGCUGAUAGGUGUGACUUGAAGGGUUUAACUGUGAUGAUCGACUUGAAAGAGUUGCUGAAGCUCUUGAAAGGAUAAUGGAAUCUUGGACACUAAAAGGCACUGAUACUCGAGGAAGUUUUGAUGUUUCAGGAGUAUAUACAACAAGGAUGCAUGAAGAUUUAGAUGAGUUGUCACCACCAAAACGAAAUGACUUGUCUCCUCGUUUCUCUGAAGGCAUUCUUGAUUGCGUUCCUGAUGCUGACAAUUCUUUUGUCAUGGAAGAUCUGAAUGUUUUGCCUGACAUGCCAUGUGACAUGCGUUCUUCUUUGACACCUGAACAAGGCACCAGAACCUCGUCGGCAGGAAGCUCGACACCAAGAUCACCACUAUUAACACCAAGAACCAGUCAGAUUGAAAUGCUGUUGAGUGGAUGGAGAGCAAUACCAGAACUUGAGAGUUAUCAGCAGAUUCAUAAGCUACUGGAUAUCGCCCGUUCCAUCGCAAAUGUUAGCAAUUGUGAAUACAGUGCAUUGGAGUACAUGCUUGAACGACUGGAAGACCUAAAAUAUGCCAUCCAGGAUAGGAAGGUCGAUGCCCUUGUUGUGGAGACUUUUGGAAGGCGUAUAGAAAAAUUAUUGCAGGAAAAAUAUGUACAUCUUUGUGGGCAGAUAGAAGAUGAGAAAGUGGAUCCAUCAAAUGGUAUGGCUGACGAAGAAAGUUCAGUUGAAGAUGAAGCAGUUCGUAGUCUGCGUGCCAGCCCCAUCAAUCCGUGUUCAAAGGAUCGAACAUCUAUUGAAGAUUUUGAAAUAAUAAAACCAAUAAGCAGGGGUGCAUUUGGGCGAGUUUUUCUUGCCAGAAAAAGAGCGACUGGUGACUUAUUUGCUAUAAAGGUAUUAAAGAAGGCUGAUAUGAUUCGUAAAAAUGCUGUUGAAAGUAUUUUGGCGGAGCGUAACAUCCUUAUAUUGCUUCGCAAUCCUUUUGUGGUCCGAUUUUUCUAUUCGUUCACAUGCAGGGAAAACCUGUAUCUGGUCAUGGAAUACUUAAAUGGUGGAGAUCUGUACUCUUUACUACGAAAUCUAGGCUGCUUAGAUGAAGAUAUGGCCAAAGUAUAUAUUGCAGAAGUUGUUCUUGCUUUGGAGUAUUUGCAUUCAUUAAAUGUUGUCCAUAGAGACUUGAAGCCAGACAACCUGUUGAUUGGUCAAGAUGGUCACAUCAAGUUGACAGAUUUUGGGCUCUCCAAGGUUGGUCUAAUCAGCAGCACUGAUGACUUAUCAGGUCCAUCAGUUAGUGAUACUGGUUUUCUUCGAGAUGAUGAACCAAAAACUCAGCCUUCAUCAGAAAGGACACAGCGCCAGAAACAUUCAGUUGUUGGCACCCCUGAUUAUUUGGCACCUGAAAUACUUCUUGGCAUGGGGCAUAGUGCAACUGCUGAUUGGUGGUCUGUGGGCGUUAUUCUUUUUGAGCUGCUUGUUGGUCUUCCACCGUUCAAUGCAGAGCAUCCACAGCAAAUUUUCAACAAUAUAAUAAACAGAGAUAUUCCCUGGCCUAAGGUACCUGAGGAGAUGAGCUAUGAAGCAUACGAUUUGAUUGACAAAUUGAUGACCGAAAACCCAGUUCAAAGACUUGGAGCAACAGGUUCCAGGGAGGUAAUUUAUUGACUACCGAUGAAAAUUCAUUUGUAAGUCAGAAUGAAGAGGUCCCUUUGAUCCAUUAAGGUUUGAGCCGACGCGAUUUUCUUAUCUCGCCAUCAUGUACGGAAACAAAUGCCCUAGAAGCUAGAAAAGGGUUCUUCUCCUUCACUCUUCUUCUCUAACACAGCACCAGAACGAGACGCUUCGUCAGCUCCAUUUCUUCUGCUUUUCUCAUCAGACAUGGAUAACAUACAAGAUAUCGCACAAGGGAUGCAGGAAUUUAAAAUUGAAGCGAUCUCAUGCACUUUUCCCCAGGAAAUCAUACAAGAGAUCCUACUUAGGCUAACCGUC